Pestalotiopsis fici W106-1 is the source of this 98-nucleotide transfer RNA. It matches the Rfam family "tRNA". From Rfam's summary of the family: Transfer RNA (tRNA) molecules are approximately 80 nucleotides in length. Their secondary structure includes four short double-helical elements and three loops (D, anti-codon, and T loops). Lineage: Eukaryota; Fungi; Ascomycota; Sordariomycetes; Amphisphaeriales; Sporocadaceae. The record is from Rfam.
GCCCGGUUAGCUCAAUUGGUUAGAGCGUUGGACUUUUACAUCAACAUCCUGAUGCCGCUGUCAUCCAAAGGCUGCGAGUUCGACCCUCGCAUCGGGCG